AAUAAGAACAAAUACAAACUUAAUUCAGUCAACACAGCAUAAAUUAGAGAUCCAGAAGAAUUUAAUGAUCCAGAAGAAUUUAAUGAGUGCAGCCAUCGGAACGUCAUACAAAAGUGAAUGAAUGAUGACGUAAAAUUCAAUGACGAGAAUUGAAACUGCAUUAUAACACUUAACAAUACACAAUAUCCCCAAAAGGAACAUCAAUGUGUUAAAAUGGACAAAAAAGGGCUCAUGAAUAAUACCAUCAAGGAAUCCAUAGUCACUGCACUAGCUAAAAACUGAUGAACAUUGUUCCAGCAGUUCUAACAACUUUAAUCCAAAUUUUAAAUAUAUCGAUGAAAAAACAACCCCACUUCCAGAAACUUUGUCAUGGCGUCACAGGAUUUUUGAUCACCAAGUCUCAUAAUUAUACAUAAGCCAUUUCAAUCACACUGUUCCAUUUUUAACCGAAUCAAAGACUGUACAUGCAUCUUUGUUACAAAGAAAGUUACACACAUAGCAAUAAAACUGACUUCCCAUUGCUAUUCCUUCCAUAUUGUGUACCAUUGCCAUGCACUCUUUAAUGGAAGAUCCAGAUGAUGCAGCAAGGAUAAUCUUAAUCUUAUCCUUCAAUGGAGAUGCACCUGACUUCGUUCUUUUACAAUUAUCACUUAGGCUUCCACUUUCAGUUGAUCUUCUUUUCUCAACCAUGGAAGACGGAGACAUUUCAAUAUCUCCUUCCUCACAAUGGGAAGACUUAUCUAUGUAUUUUAAAUAAAAUUGUAGAACACAACAUAACGUUAGAAGGCGUAAUCUCAUCCAUUUGUCAAAUCUUUCUUCCCAUUGUUUUUCGUCAAUUUCUUCACCCUCGAUAUUAGAAGCAUUAUUUGUUGCAGAAGCUACAUAUGAUAUAUCCCAAAUCUCGAUCCAACAGAUCAAUGAAAACACAGACAGUACUACCAAUUGAUCAUUAUAGCCAAAAAUAUGGCCAACACACAAAUUCAAAAAGAACCUAUCUCUAUAUAUCAAAAAUUAAAAUGAAUAUUAACCAAAAAGCUCAGGUGUAACAUAGCACAGAACUAAUAUGCUACACUUAUACAAAAUUUCCAGCAGAAGUAUUCCAACCUAUAAGUCAUUCUCAAACUCACAAACAGAUAGUUAUUUCAGUAGCAGGAUGAGAAACGUACGAUCGGUAAUAUGUAAGAACUUGUGGGCUUAUGGGCUGGUUUGUCUUCCAGUUAUUGGGUCAGUCAGUCUUCCUAUUAAUUCCUUUAAGUAUUGUAUUAGGUCAUUAGUUAAUGAAGUCCAAUGGGUUAUGCUUAACGCAGUCCAGUAAUAGGAAUAAAUGCCAGAGUUGACUGAGUCCACAGUCAUGUCCGAGUCUUUAGGAAGAGUCUGUAGUGCAGUAG
RNAcentral lists this long non-coding RNA (1388 nucleotides) under Olea europaea subsp. europaea. The record is from RNAcentral. Lineage: Eukaryota; Viridiplantae; Streptophyta; Magnoliopsida; Lamiales; Oleaceae.